This 285-nucleotide ribosomal RNA is filed under the name Lacticaseibacillus paracasei. Its description in RNAcentral is "Lactobacillus paracasei partial 16S ribosomal RNA". It matches the Rfam family "Bacterial small subunit ribosomal RNA", at positions 1 to 256 of the family's 1533-position model. Lineage: Bacteria; Bacillati; Bacillota; Bacilli; Lactobacillales; Lactobacillaceae. The record is from RNAcentral.
UUUAUAUGAGAGUUUGAUCCUGGCUCAGGAUGAACGCUGGCGGCGUGCCUAAUACAUGCAAGUCGAACGAGUUCUUGUUGAUGAUCGGUGCUUGCACCAAGAUUCAACAUGGAACGAGUGGCGGACGGGUGAGUAACACGUGGGUAACCUGCCCUUAAGUGGGGGAUAACAUUUGGAAACAGAUGCUAAUACCGCAUAGAUCCAAGAACCGCAUGGUUCUUGGCUGAAAGAUGGCGUAAGCUAUCGCUUUUGGAUGGACCCGCGGCGUAUUAGCUAGUUGGUGAG